Hibiscus syriacus is the source of this 104-nucleotide long non-coding RNA. RefSeq lists it as uncharacterized. Lineage: Eukaryota; Viridiplantae; Streptophyta; Magnoliopsida; Malvales; Malvaceae. The transcript is spliced from 3 exons. The record is from RefSeq and is a predicted model, not a curated record.
AAUCUUCAAAUUUAACAUUUUCAACUUGGAAAUUUGAAGAAUAUGCUAUUAGAAAGGCGUUGAUUCACAUGAUAAUCGUGGGUGAGCUACCUUUUGGAAUUAUA